Small nucleolar RNA from Callithrix jacchus (white-tufted-ear marmoset), 68 nucleotides. Lineage: Eukaryota; Metazoa; Chordata; Mammalia; Primates; Cebidae. The record is from Ensembl.
CCUCAUUGAUGAGAACGUUCUGACUUUCGUUCUGAGUUUGCUGAAGCCAGAUGCCAUUUUUGAGAAGG